UACAUGAUGGAGCUGUGAAAGCGACUAGAGAUACGAAGAGAUGAGAGGGCCCUGCGCCAGCGUGAAUGACAGAUCUGGUUCUUACUCAGCCAUGUGCAGAAACGAGAGAUUCUUUUGCCCGCUCUCUCUCUCUCUUUCUCCUAUCUCGAACAAACACGCUCCCUCUCUUUUGCACUCACCCUCACUCUACCGUCGUUUCUUGUCUUGACUAUCUAUCUCUCUCUCCUGGUCUUCACACCGGCCUAAUACAGAGUAAAAUCUCCAGAAAUGACAAGACGAGCGAGGAAAAAAAAAAAGGGAAAAAAAGUGUGCUGUCUCUAGGUGUGUCCUACCUGAGUGUGCGGAGGCGAGGCUGAGGUCGGAGCAGGGCUGGCCUUCGGGCAUGCCGUGCUGUCGGGUGUGGUGCAGGUUGGAGAUGAUCGUUGAGAGGUCACUGUCACGACUGGAAAAAGGAAAGCAGAGGAGGAAGAAAGCAAGAAGAAGGGAAAGAAAGAGAGAGAGGAAGGGUCGUCUCUUCAAGGCCAACUGAAGGGUUUACAGAUUAGAACUGGACAAGGCCGUUUCCUCAACCUCCCUCCUUCCCCCAUCAUCCUCCCUCACUCAUCCUUCAUUAACCCUUGCAGCUCAGAGGGCCAUUGGACAGACGUGGUGUUCCUCAUGGCAGCGGGAGCGUCGGGGAGGGAAACAGUGCCAGCGCAAGUGCCCCUGCAGUGACACGGGAGACGAGAGCUGGCGCCAGAUAUAGAGGUCACACUGAGAGCUGGCAGACUGGGCAUCCUGACGCCAGGGCUUACACCAUUACUGAACACAGCACUGAUAGUCUCACCCUGACACACACACACAAAGUGGUGCCAAGCAGAAAGUGGGAAGGCAUGUGGAGAGGAUCCCUCCUUUUUACAGAAAGUGACAGACGUUUUGCACUAUGAACUGGCACUGGAAAAUAAGACCAAAAUUGGGUACAAAAAUGGUACAAAACUGAGAAUUUCACCAUUACUUUUA
Onychostoma macrolepis is the source of this 999-nucleotide long non-coding RNA. RefSeq lists it as uncharacterized. The transcript has 4 exons. Lineage: Eukaryota; Metazoa; Chordata; Actinopteri; Cypriniformes; Cyprinidae. The record is from RefSeq and is a predicted model, not a curated record.